This 857-nucleotide ribosomal RNA is filed under the name uncultured bacterium. RNAcentral's name for it is "bacterial SSU rRNA". It matches the Rfam family "Bacterial small subunit ribosomal RNA", at positions 51 to 914 of the family's 1533-position model. The record is from RNAcentral.
ACACAUGCAGUCGAGCGGGGUGAUGUAGCUUGCUACAUUACCUAGCGGCGGACGGGUGAGUAAUGCUUAGGAAUCUGCCUAUUAGUGGGGGACAACAUUCCGAAAGGAAUGCUAAUACCGCAUACGCCCUACGGGGGAAAGCAGGGGAUCUUCGGACCUUGCGCUAAUAGAUGAGCCUAAGUCAGAUUAGCUAGUUGGUGGGGUAAAGGCCUACCAAGGCGACGAUCUGUAGCGGGUCUGAGAGGAUGAUCCGCCACACUGGGACUGAGACACGGCCCAGACUCCUACGGGAGGCAGCAGUGGGGAAUAUUGGACAAUGGGCGAAAGCCUGAUCCAGCCAUGCCGCGUGUGUGAAGAAGGCCUUUUGGUUGUAAAGCACUUUAAGCGAGGAGGAGGCUACUUAGAUUAAUACUCUAGGAUAGUGGACGUUACUCGCAGAAUAAGCACCGGCUAACUCUGUGCCAGCAGCCGCGGUAAUACAGANGGUGCGAGCGUUAAUCGGAUUUACUGGGCGUAAAGCGUGCGUAGGCGGCUUCUUAAGUCGGAUGUGAAAUCCCUGAGCUUAACUUANGAAUUGCAUUCGAUACUGGGAAGCUAGAGUAUGGGAGAGGAUGGUAGAAUUCCAGUGUAGCGGUGAAAUGCGUAGAGAUCUGGAGGAAUACCGAUGGCGAAGCAGCCAUCUGGCCUAAUACUGACGCUGAGUACGAAAGCAUGGGAGCAAACAGGAUUAGAUACCCUGGUAGUCCAUGCCGUAAACGAUGUCUACUAGCCGUGGGGCCUUUGAGCUUUAGUGNGCAGCUAACGCGAUAGUAGACCNCUGGGGAGUACGUCGCAGACUAAAACUCAAAUGAAUUGAC